UCCUACGGGAGGCAGCAGUGGGGAAUAUUGGACAAUGGGGGGAACCCUGAUCCAGCCAUGCCGCGUGUGUGAAGAAGGCCUUAUGGUUGUAAAGCACUUUAAGCGAGGAGGAGGCUAUUGAAGUUAAUACUCUUGAAGAGUGACGUACUCGCAGAAA
RNAcentral lists this ribosomal RNA (157 nucleotides) under Acinetobacter baumannii. Its description in RNAcentral is "partial 16S ribosomal RNA". It matches the Rfam family "Bacterial small subunit ribosomal RNA", at positions 337 to 487 of the family's 1533-position model. The record is from RNAcentral. Lineage: Bacteria; Pseudomonadati; Pseudomonadota; Gammaproteobacteria; Moraxellales; Moraxellaceae.